Small nuclear RNA from Fukomys damarensis (Damara mole-rat), 107 nucleotides. NCBI's taxonomy places the organism in Eukaryota, Metazoa, Chordata, Mammalia, Rodentia, Bathyergidae. The record is from Ensembl.
GUGCUCACUUCAGGAGCACGUAUACUAAAAUUGGAAGUAUACAGAAAAGAUUAGCAUGGCCUCUGUGCAAGGAUGACACACAAAUUCAUGAGGCAUUCCAUAUUUUC